AGUUCAGAUUGUAGGCUGCAACUCGCCUACAUGAAGUCGGAAUUGCUAGUAAUCGCGGAUCAGCAUGCCGCGGUGAAUACGUUCCCGGGCCUUGUACACACCGCCCGUCACACCAUGAGAGCCGGUAAUACCCGAAGUCAGUAGUCCAACCUCGUGAGGACGCUGCCGAAGGUAGGAUUGGCGACUGGGGUGAAGUCGUAACAAGGUACC
Molecule: ribosomal RNA, 210 nt
Filed under: uncultured bacterium
Lineage: Bacteria
Description: partial 16S ribosomal RNA
Rfam family: Bacterial small subunit ribosomal RNA
Source: RNAcentral